This 439-nucleotide ribosomal RNA is filed under the name uncultured bacterium. Its description in RNAcentral is "partial 16S ribosomal RNA". It matches the Rfam family "Bacterial small subunit ribosomal RNA", at positions 28 to 507 of the family's 1533-position model. The record is from RNAcentral.
AACGAACGCUGGCGGCAUGCCUAACACAUGCAAGUCGAACGAGACCUUCGGGUCUAGUGGCGCACGGGUGCGUAACGCGUGGGAACCUGCCCUUAGGUUCGGAAUAACUCCCCGAAAGGGGUGCUAAUACCGGAUAAUUUCUUCGUACCAAAGAUUUAUCGCCUUUGGAUGGGCCCGCGGUGGAUUGGCUAGUUGGGGGGGUAAAGGACUACCAAGGCGGCGAUGGGUAGCUGGUCUGAGAGGAUGAUAGGCCAGACGGGGGCUGAGAAACGGCCGAGACUGCUACGGGAGGCAGAAGUGGGGAAUAGGGAGGGAGGGGGGGGGGCGGGAGGCAGCAACGCCGGGUGCGGGAUGACGGCCGUCGGGUGGGAGACCGCUUGCAGCAGGGGCGAAGCGGGUGGUGACGGUACCUGCAGAAGAAGCACCGGCUAACUACGUG